UCUGAGGAUUCCUUAGGCAGUCUGGAUGAGAGAGAGAAAAGGCUGCUGACCAGUGAGAUGAACUACUGGACUAAGGAGAGGAGGAGGAAUGGCAGUGCAGGGUGCCGCCAUAAAUCCACUCGCAGAACCUCAUCACCAUGCUGUUCGCCUAAGAGGUCCCAGACCUCAUUGCAGAGCUUGCCUGCAACUAGAGAGGCUCCCCUCAUGGAGGAGCCUCUGAACGCUCUUUUUGGGGUAACGGAAGAGAGCCUCCUGAUAUCCCUGGUUGAGGGUCACUCCAACCCCACCUCCUCCAGCUCCUCCGAUUUGAGCUGUGCUAUCGUGGGAGAGGUAGUACACCAGCUUAACCCUGGCCUCUCAGUGGCCAUUCAGGCCAGCUCGGGGAGUUUCCCCCCUAUGGACAGUCAGGACAUAGCAGCAGGCAAGGAGGUCAUUCGGGUAGUCUCGGUGCAGAUCCUGGCCGAGCUACAGAGCCAAACGUCUGAGCCAGAGUGGGUAGGGUUUAUCGAGCCCCU
This is a long non-coding RNA of Oncorhynchus tshawytscha (Chinook salmon), 515 nucleotides long. The record is from Ensembl. Lineage: Eukaryota; Metazoa; Chordata; Actinopteri; Salmoniformes; Salmonidae.